GUAGGAUAAGCUAAGCACACUGUUGGUUAUGUGUGCCCAAGCAUUGAGGCAGUCAAAGUAGGCAAAUCCGCUUUGAUAAUGCUGGGAUGUGAUGGGGAGCGAAAUUUAGUAGCGAAGUAGCUGAUUUCACACUGUCAAGAAAAGUCUCUAUCGAGGUUAAAGGUACCCGUACCGCAAACCGACACAGGUGGGUGAGGAGAGUAUCCUAAGGCCAGCGAGAGAACUGUUGUUAAGGAACUCGGCAAAAUGACCCCGUAACUU
RNAcentral lists this ribosomal RNA (261 nucleotides) under Clostridioides difficile. Its description in RNAcentral is "partial 23S ribosomal RNA". It matches the Rfam family "Bacterial large subunit ribosomal RNA", at positions 1477 to 1736 of the family's 2925-position model. The record is from RNAcentral. Lineage: Bacteria; Bacillati; Bacillota; Clostridia; Peptostreptococcales; Peptostreptococcaceae.